AGUCAAGGGGAAUAGGGUAGCAAUAUCCUUAGUACACUGGCGCACGGGUGAGUAAAAUAUAAGUAACCUACCUCUAGAUAUGGGAUAACAUUUCGAAAGAAAUGCUAAUACCGUAUAAUGCAGCGGCACCACAUGGUGAUGUUGUUAAAGUUGUAGUAAACGUCUAGAGAUGGGCUUGUAACUGAUUAGCUAGUUGGCGGGGUAACAGCCCACCAAGGCUACGAUCAGUAGCUGGUCUGAGAGGAUGAUCAGCCACACUGGAACUGAGACACGGUCCAGACUCCUACGGGAGGCAGCAGUGAGGAAUAUUGGGCAAUGCCCGCAAGGGUGACCCAGCAACGCCGCGUGGAGGAUGAAAGCCGUAAGGUUGUAAACUCCUGUGAGAGGGGACGAAUGAUUACGUUUCGUAAGGAACGUGAAGUGACUGUACCCUCAGAGGAAGCCCCGGCUAACUACGUGCCAGCCGCCGCGGUAAUUC
RNAcentral lists this ribosomal RNA (478 nucleotides) under uncultured bacterium. Its description in RNAcentral is "bacterial SSU rRNA". It matches the Rfam family "Bacterial small subunit ribosomal RNA", at positions 60 to 526 of the family's 1533-position model. The record is from RNAcentral.